AACCCAUGCUGAGGACAUUUCCGUAGGAGAUCCUUAAACCUAUCCCAUCUAUGAAAAGGAGACUCCAAUUCCGUUUGCACAAAAGAAGAUAUUUCAUUCUUGAGCUU
Dioscorea cayenensis subsp. rotundata (Guinea yam) is the source of this 107-nucleotide small nucleolar RNA. The record is from RefSeq and is a predicted model, not a curated record. Lineage: Eukaryota; Viridiplantae; Streptophyta; Magnoliopsida; Dioscoreales; Dioscoreaceae.